Molecule: ribosomal RNA, 300 nt
Filed under: uncultured bacterium
Lineage: Bacteria
Description: bacterial SSU rRNA
Rfam family: Bacterial small subunit ribosomal RNA (bases 52-300)
Source: RNAcentral
GAAAGAGAGUGGGCGGGGGGCGGGGAAAGACGGAGGGUGCAAGCGGUGUUGGGGAUGACGGGGAGUAAAGGGCGCGUAGGCGGCCGCCUAAGUCAGACGUGAAAUCCCCAAGCGUAACGGGGGAACUGCGUCUGAUACUGGGUGGCUUGAGUUCGGGAGAGGAAUGUGGAAUUCCAGGUGUAGCGGUGAAAUGCGUAGAUAUCUGGAGGAACACCGGUGGCGAAGGCGGCAUUCUGGACCGAAACUGACGCUGAUGCGCGAAAGCCAGGGGAGCAAACGGGAUUAGAUACCCGUGUAGUC